CAGCCGUAGGGCUACUGUUUAUUUCAGAUCCGAGAGAGGUGAAGAAGUGUCCUGCUGGCACCGUGCAGUCGUCCUUGCCGUACAUAACGCAGGUGCAGGACGGGCUUUUAGUGUGUAACUGUCACCAUCUGCGCACGUGAGAGGCACAGGGACGUGGAUUGCUGACUGCGGACACUCUCUGUUCCUUUACUUGACGAUGACUCUGCAGGCUGGUGCGCUCUGCUACUGCACUCUUUUUGUUUUACUUUAGCAAAUAAACCAAAGAUCGGAUGCACUAAAUUCCUUCUUUCGUGCGUAAUAGCCGCGCGGUAAGGCUACGGUGACGCGUUUUGCCUUUCAUCAUUGAGAGCGGGGCAAGUUUUCAAAGGCACCGAUGAGCUACUGUCGGAGUGAGACUUUGGCAUCUGAGGGUACCUGUUGGAAUUAAAAAAAUAUAUAUACAAACGUUACUUUAAAGGGAAACUGGAUCGGUCCGUGUUCAGUGGAUUUUUUGCGCCUUGGUGACCCUCUUGUGGUGUGGUAUGACGGUGGAAACGAUGUUUUCAUGCAAUACGAGUGCCAUAAAGGACUGGAGCUACUUUCUGUCUCAGAUAUUGCCUUUGAUGAAUAAAACUACAGCCUCCGCUUUGUCGAUGGUCAACAUCGACAAGGCGGAGGCUGUGACGACCACUGUGGUGACAUCCUUGCAGCCGGACGGCGCCAUGAGCGCGAGUAAUCCCCCUAUCGACUCCAACCAUACCUCGGGCAUGGAGCACGUCUUUCAGUACUCGUACUCGGAGAGUGACCUGCUGUACACGGACUAUCGGACACCGGAGAGAGAUCCCAUGCCUCUUCCCAAAGCGGUGCUCUAUCUGGUCAUGGCAGCGCUGGUAGUAGUGGCAGUGGCGUAUGCGAUAGUUGGACACCUGGUCAAAGAUGUGGUGAAUGACUUCGUCGGUGGAGGCAGGUCGAUUGUUGGGGAAGGUGACGGUACAGACACCAGUGAACCAGACUGGGUGUUUGGCUCUCGCCGUGCUGCCAACCGCAACAAGACCGAGGUUAACUCAAUCACCAACACCAUGAAUGAGAUGAGUGAGAGGCCCCCGCUGGUGGAAAUGAGCUACAUAUCCCUGAACCACACCAACCAUCUGAGCUCCAACAGACAGGAGGAGGUAGUGGUCACCAUAGAUGAGACACUACAGCAGCAACCUCCAAACACUCCCUCUGGGACUUAACUGCAACCUUCUGAUCUUCACUGAGAGAAAUCAAGCAGCAUCUUUGCUUGCUUUUUGUGUUAAAGUGGAUUUACAAGUCUGACACAAAUGGAAGCUUUAUCCACUGUUUCUUCACCUGCAGGUGGCUGUGUAAUGUUGGGCCAGAAGGUACUUGGAGGCAUGAGAUGCUGAUGUUUGUAUGUGACUUGAUUCUUUUUGGCUGAAAUGACAGAUGAGGGCAGCUACAGCUUGUUUGGACAAGCAGCCGGAGAGACAACUGUUAUUUUUUCAUGCUUAGUCCUCAUCGUGCCAACCCUUUUAUUUCUCUAAGUUACCCCUCAUCCAUUUAAAAUGAAAACACCAAUGCAAACAAUAUUUAAUCGCUCUAGAUAUACAACACAUGGUGGUCAGUGCUUAUUGUAACAUUUCUGAUAGCAAAGUGAAAAACUUCACCCUCAUGAGAACAGUUAGAUUAACACUUUUGUCAUUUUCGCUGAGGCUGCGAGAUUAGGUUUUGCAUAAUCUAUAUAAAUUUGUAUCUCUUUCUAUAUGAUGAUACUGUAAUUACCAAAGGCAAGUCUAUCCCUAAAGAUUAAAUAAAAUCAUUUGGUAGUUUCAUGGUAUUAGCUUGAUGUAAGAGGAAACAAGUGCUAAGUCACCUUCAAGAGCUCUGAUUAUACCUGCUGUCAACUCUCAAAAAAUGUGCAUUGCUUUUAAUGUCAUUAUUGGUUACAUGUCACAUGGAAUGGCUUUUGUCAAAGCCUUUGUUUACCUUUAUUACCUCACUGUUAAGGGCUACAUACUGCUGCUGAUGACACUGCUCACAGACACAAAUAAUGGGGCUUAUUUCUCCUUUGCAUGUGGUCCUUAUCCUCUGCACACAUGGAUCUACUAUAAACAGUAUCUUUGAAGGGUCUGUUCUACCUGAAAGUACUGAUGUUAGAACUCCAAUUUUCUCUCUCAUUUAUAAUAGGUUUGAAUAAAAGGUUCGAGGAACAGGCGUCUGGUUCACAUCAACAAGAUCUUAGUUUGUCCCUUCCCCAAUCUGCAAGACUUUUUUUUUAAGAGUCUUGUUCCUCAAAUAUGUUAAUCACACUGAUCUGUGAGUGUAAAAGUGGAAAACAGUCUGCAAAAAAAAAGGCAAUAAAGCAAACAAACAAAUAAAAACCCAUGCUCUUUCAUUUUUUACCAUGCUGUUAAUCGCUGUAUUCCUUUCG
Astatotilapia calliptera (eastern happy) is the source of this 2410-nucleotide long non-coding RNA. NCBI's taxonomy places the organism in Eukaryota, Metazoa, Chordata, Actinopteri, Cichliformes, Cichlidae. The record is from Ensembl.